UACGAAGGGUGCUAGCGUUGUUCGGAAUCACUGGGCGUAAAGCGCGCGUAGGCGGCUUUUCAAGUCAGGGGUGAAAUGCCUGGGCUCAACCCAGGAACUGCCUUUGAAACUGUUAAGCUAGAGUGUUGGAGGGGAUGGCGGAAUUGCUAAUGUAGAGGUGAAAUUCGUAGAUAUUAGCAGGAACACCGGUGGCGAAGGCGGCCAUCUGGACAACAACUGACGCUGAGGCGCGAAAGCGUGGGGAUCAAACAGG
This 253-nucleotide ribosomal RNA is filed under the name uncultured bacterium. Its description in RNAcentral is "partial 16S ribosomal RNA". It matches the Rfam family "Bacterial small subunit ribosomal RNA", at positions 524 to 776 of the family's 1533-position model. The record is from RNAcentral.